CAGAAAGUGUUUUUUAAUUGCAGUUUCGGCUGCUGGGAAAGCGGUAGAUCACUAUGGCUUCUGUACCGUGAAAUGAAGCUUAUGAUAAAUAAAAUACUGCUGCUUGCUGGUCACUGAUUGAAGAUCGUGCAGUGGCUACCAUUGGCCAAUCUCACCAACGGGAUAUAAUAAGAACUGAUGCAGGUUUAUAUCUAUAUGUAUUGUCUAUUCGGAACAAAGUUAGUACGCUUUUUAAACCGAUGUUGGAUUUUUCUCCAGAUACAGGCAACCCACUUAACUUUGGAAGUAGUGCGCUGGAUUCGUCUAAAGAUAUGCUACACAACCGGAGGAAAAUAAAAUAAUUUGUAAAACAAUUAAUUGUAUUGUAUUUUUAUUGUAAUAUUGGAGUAUAAUGUAUUCUAAAUCCUGUUGUAUUUCUAUUGUAAAACAAUAGAAACAGUAAUUGAAAACAUUUAAAACACAAUGUUUUCUAUUGUUUUGUCGCUCGAAAUCAUCCCAUUGAAGAACCGUAAAAUCAAUUGUUUUGCUCCGAAUUUUGUAUGGAAAAUUUUCGAUUUUUUUAUUGU
This is a long non-coding RNA of Armigeres subalbatus, 566 nucleotides long. RefSeq lists it as uncharacterized. NCBI's taxonomy places the organism in Eukaryota, Metazoa, Arthropoda, Insecta, Diptera, Culicidae. The transcript is spliced from 3 exons. The record is from RefSeq and is a predicted model, not a curated record.